GUGCUCGCUUUGGCAGCACAUGUACUAAAAUUGAAAUGAUACAGAGAAGAUUAGCAUGGAUCCUGCGCAAAGAUGACAUGCAAAUCCAUGAACCAUCCCAUAUUUAA
Molecule: small nuclear RNA, 107 nt
Organism: Capra hircus (goat)
Lineage: Eukaryota; Metazoa; Chordata; Mammalia; Artiodactyla; Bovidae
Source: Ensembl